GGAAUAUUGGACAAUGGGCGCAAGCCUGAUCCAGCCAUGCCGCGUGAGUGAUGAAGGCCCUAGGGUUGUAAAGCUCUUUCAGCGGGGAAGAUAAUGACUGUACCCAGUAAAGAAGUCCCGGCUAACUCCGUGCCAGAAGCCGCGGUAAUACGGAGGGGACUAGCGUUGUUCGGAAUUACUGGGCGUAAAGCGCACGUAGGCGGACCGAAAAGUCAGAGGUGAAAUCCCAGGGCUCAACCUUGGAACUGCCUUUGAAACUGCCGGUCUAGAGUUCGAGAGAGGUGAGUGGAAUUCCGAGUGUAGAGGUGAAAUUCGUAGAUAUUCGGAGGAACACCAGUGGCGGAGGCGGCUCACUGGCUCGAUACUGACGCUGAGGUGCGAAAGCGUGGGGAGCA
RNAcentral lists this ribosomal RNA (395 nucleotides) under uncultured bacterium. RNAcentral describes it as "bacterial SSU rRNA". It matches the Rfam family "Bacterial small subunit ribosomal RNA", at positions 358 to 770 of the family's 1533-position model. The record is from RNAcentral.